Bombus pascuorum is the source of this 2004-nucleotide long non-coding RNA. RefSeq lists it as uncharacterized. Lineage: Eukaryota; Metazoa; Arthropoda; Insecta; Hymenoptera; Apidae. The transcript has 3 exons. The record is from RefSeq and is a predicted model, not a curated record.
GCUAAAUCUACAGCAAAUAUUUGUUUUUCUGGUUCCGGCUGUGACAGUAAUUCAGGAAUCCAAUCAAGACAAAUAUGCAUAGAUGGAAUACCAGUAACUGUAAUGGGUAACAGCUCUCUUGGAUAACCCUAUAAUUAAAGAAAUAUGGAAGAAUAUGUAGCGGACGAGGGAGAGAUAACAGAACUGAUUGAAAGUCUGGAUUUAUUUCAGAGGAAAGAACCUGACUCUAAAUGCGAGAAAAUCAAAGGUGACGAAAUUCAAGGCAAAGGAUAGAAAAAUGAAGGAGGAGAAAUGGAAAUGGAAACAGGAAGAAUUAGAGGAGGAUAUGCAGCAAAGGUACAGAGGUGGAAGAAGAGAACAGAGGUAACGAGCUUACACGAGAGGUGUAUGGCUAGAGUGGAAUGAAAAGCGCCAGGAUAUUUAAUAAGAAGAAAGUUAAAAGGAGACAAGAUGAGAUUGAGAGCAAGAAUGUUUGGCAUGGAGGUUUGAAGAAAGGCUGAAGAGAGAGCAGGGUAGAGAUUUGACAAGAAUAUGUCUGGAGGAGGUCAGAAGUAGAGAAGAAGCGGGUAGUGGAAAGGAUAGAUAUAUGGGGGAAAGAAAGAUUGCAUGGAAGAAAAUGAAAAGUGCUAUGUGGGUGAAUGAAGAAGGGGAGAAUGGGGAGAGGGAAAGGCUAGAGAGAGUAGAGAGAGAAAUGGAGAAGUUAGAAAGAGAAAAGAAAUUUUAAUUGGAAUCCAGAUACAAGAGAUGGUAUGUAAGGUAUUAAAGGUAAGAAAGAAGUACCAAAAUACUUGAAGAAUGAAGGAAGGGAGCGGGGAGAGAGAGACAAAGAGUGAGAGGGGGGGGGUGGAAAGAAUAGUGAAGUUCAGACUAGGCAGCGAGGUUAGAGAUGGGAAAUAGUGGUUAAGGAAAGAGAAAAAGGAACGCAUGUUAAAUGGAGCAAAGAUGCAGACAAGGGAGCGUGUGUGGGAGUUACGUGGAGGGUAUAAGACAGAUUCAAGGGUUUGGCAGGAUAAUGUAGAGAGAAUAUUGGAAAAGGAGGAUGAGGAGGAAGAGUAGAUUUAGAAUUUGAAAGAGAAGAGAAUGGAGAGGAUGGGGGGUGAGAAAAGAGAGAUGGAUAGAUGUAGCUUAAAGUGGUUAGUCAAAAGAAAAUAAAUAAUAAGUUAGCAUAAUUGAUUAAUAAUAUAUUAAUUGUAGGUAGGGCAAGAUUAAGAUUAAUUUUAAGCUUAGGUUAAGUUAAUGAAUUUAGUACUAAGAUAGAGAUAAAGUAGGUAAUAUUAUAUGUGUAAUGUAUACAUGGUCGUCGUCGUCGUCGUCGUCGUCGUCGUCGUCGUCGUCGUCGUCGUCGUGUGUGUGUGUGUGUGUGUGUGUUAUGAUAAUGAUAUGUCAGUAAUUAAUAUUCAAUACUUAAUAUUUUAAUAAGUAAAAAUAAAAAUAAGCAAAUUUGGUUAUACAUACUUGAAAAUGAACCAAUUUAGCCAACGAUGGGUCUGCUAUGAAGACUUGAUGCAAAUAUGAACAGAUUAUACUUUGUAUUUCUCUCAAUGACCACAUCUGUCCGGGUGUUUCUCUAUCUUCUGCUGUCUCCAAACAUGCUUCUAAUAAUAUUUGAACAGCCGCGCUUUCUUGUCCUGCCACUAAUGCUGUUCUUAAAUCUUCUCUUUCAGCUUCACUUGAUAACUGACCAAUCUUUUCUAUCAAUGGUUUGUCUUGUAUAUGUCUAGAUAACUGAGAUCGGGAAGCUGCUAAUGCAGCUUGUAGAAUUCUAAAAAUAUUUGUACCAAUGAAGUACCAAUCGAUAAUAAGUAAUUGAACGUUAAAUAUUUAAAGACUUACUCAAUCUCUUUUUUACCUUAAAAUAACAGACAAAAUUGGAGCACAUCUAAAAACUCUUGUAUCACAUCUCAAUACUUGUAAAGGAUCUAACACAAUAUUUUCUUGUGUUAAAAAAACAUUUUUUACAAGAGAAUUUUCUAUUAAUAAAGCAUUUAUUGAUAAAACCCAUAA